AUCCAGUUGACGAGUCCCAAAUAAGACGAAACGCGCUACCUGGAU
RNAcentral lists this non-coding RNA (45 nucleotides) under Schistosoma mansoni. The record is from RNAcentral. Lineage: Eukaryota; Metazoa; Platyhelminthes; Trematoda; Strigeidida; Schistosomatidae.